Long non-coding RNA from Camellia sinensis, 3380 nucleotides. RefSeq lists it as uncharacterized. NCBI's taxonomy places the organism in Eukaryota, Viridiplantae, Streptophyta, Magnoliopsida, Ericales, Theaceae. The record is from RefSeq and is a predicted model, not a curated record.
GUACAUACAAUAUCAUCAGGUUGCCCCAGCUUUGAAUGAACCGUAUAUACAAUAUCAUGCCUGUAUAAGAAAGAAACUUAAUAGGUACAAUACAAUAAGAAUGCAUGUUCUACGCAAGACGAAUAACCAUGACACAACGUUAGGGGCAUGUUUUAUGCAUAACAUGCAAGGAACAAAACAGAAACAUAUUCUAUGCGGCGCCAGCGAGAGCAUGUUCUAUGCAAUAGACAGAGUAAAUCAUAUUCUAUGCGAUAGUAGCAAACGCAUGGUCGAUGCAACAGGUACGAACAUUUUCUAUGUGAAUGUAAGGGCAUGUACAAGGCAAUACAACGCAACAUGCAUAUCCCGAGCAUGUACGAUGCAAUACAACACAACAUGCAUAUUCUAUGCAAAAUAACAACAAUGCAUAUUCAAUGCAACAUGCAUAUUCUAUGCAAACAUAGGGAUGCAUGUUCUAUGCAACAAUACAAAAUGCAUGUUCCAUGCAACGGCAAAGACAUGCACAUUCUAUGCAACAACAAAAGCGUGUUUGAUAAAGACGACUCAAUCGCAACUUCCGAUUUACCUCUCGGAAGAGUUGCAGUAUGUUUAAAAAAAGGAUACACCUUGCCCAUGUUGAGUAGUGAUGAGCCAUGCGCCGAAGACACAGUUCAAGGCUUCCGCAGAGACAUUUUGAGCUUAAAAGUGAGCUUUCCUUGCGCUUUCUUGAGAACCAGGGGCACAAAACAGUAGUAAAACACACAUGGAGAGCAUUAAAGGCCUAUCGGUCACCAGGGAAGGUGAUCGGCCACCCAUCGAGCACCAAAAACAAUUGUCAAAAUGGCCAUUUCACCUCAGGUGUUUAAGUAUAGGGUUCCAAACCCUAUUUCCCCACUUCUUUAUUGCCGAAAAUCAUACUCCUCUCACUCCAGACCAUUUUCCUCCUUCGAUUCGAGCAUUAUAUGCAUUUUCCAACACCCCAUGAACAUUUUCUUCGCUAAACCCUCGUAGUUUACUCCAUUUUUAGCCGAUUGAAAACCAAUUUCGGUGCUUCUUUCUUUAUUUCCACCACUUGAGGCUUGUUUCCCUCGAGUUACCCUGGAGUUUUGCGCCUUUUCCUAGGCUUUGACUUUUUCAGCCAUUUUUCCUCUUGGGAGAUGACUUUCGUUGACUCUUGGCAUUCUUUACCCAUUUUUCCCAUUUCUAACCAUUUUCUCAUCUUUUCUCGAGAUGGCGGACAACAUCCCACAUGACGAAGCUUCUCUAGAGAUAAAGGUGGAUCCAGAGUUUGAGCCACUGCCACCUAGCGUUCGACCUUUUGACCCGGUGACGUAUCAUCCUGAGAUACACGUGCUACCGCCCGAUAGCAUUCGUCAGUUCAGGGGGUUUGCACGAGGCGCACCGGAGGACCUCUUACUGCACGAGCCAGAGUCACAUUUAUCUCAUGGCGCCUCCAGGGGGAUUCACGCACCAUCAGAGGAUAUGGGACCACAUCGGCGAGGAAGUGGUACAUGGAGCUCCCUGACGACGUUCGCCACAUCAUCGACGGGGCCGACUUCAACUCAUUCUGCAUGGGGCUCUCAAGCCUCAUAGCGAGCUGGCCUCUACUGGGUGCCUUGGUAGAGAGGUGGUGGCAUACCACCGAUUCCUUUCAUUUCUCUAUCUCUAGGGAGAUAACGAUGACUCCCUUUGACUUCUCUAUGCUCACCGGCAUAGAUGUGGGGGGUCAUCCAAUCCCUUAUGACACAGAUAUGGGUGAGUAGGAGGCCGCCCAGAUUUAUCUGCUGGGGACACGCUCACCUAUCUCCCGAUCAGGGAUGGUUCGAUACUCUUGGUUUGCAGACCAUUACAGAGGGACGGCACCAGUGACCUGAGAGGAGAUCGAGCAGUAUGCCCGAGGUUUCCUGAUAUUCCUGUUUGACACUACCCUGUUCGCCGACCGGGUAAACACUGUCAGGCUAUACCUCAUGAGCGCCUUGGUGGACCUGUCUCGUGUACGAUUCUACGAUUGGGGCGGCGCUGGCUUGGCUACCUUAUACGGGUACAUGAGCUCCACCUCUCACACGAGCAAGCAUCUGAUAGGAGGCUACUGGAGGGCCUAGGAGCUAUGGGUGUACACCUACUUUCUGAGACUUGCCCCAGAGCCAAAGGUGGAGAUGCCGCCUAUCGUGCCAUACUCUCACCGGUAUGACGGGAGAUGCCAACGGAGGUCCCGGGAGUCCUUUCCCUUCUUCUGUCGGUGCUUCGAUACUAUGACCGCGGUUAAGAUUACUUGGCAGCCCUGGGUGACGAUGCUUGAGGGAUUCAAGGAUCAGGUCACUGGUGCCCGAGAGGCUUCCUGUUUUCGGCUCCUGCUCGAGGGCCCGGUUUGUCGAGUGUGGUUCGUAGGAGAGCAAUUCUUAUGCCAGACCAUCGGCUUUCCCGAGUUAGUAGUUCCGAUGCCGCCUCUAACAUAUAUGAGAGCCAUAGAGAAAUACACUAUGCAGGAGAUGAUUGAUUUCACCAGAGGCUGGGACGUUGACUUCUUCCGAGUCGAGGGUGAUUACAUAGCCUUUAUCCAGACAUACCUCAUGCCAUCUCUAGCUGGCGCCCGUGGAGGUGAGAGAUCGAGGGUUCCAGCUGCGGGAGAGAGAGGCAGAGGGGUCGGGGCGACCAGGGCCCAUGGAAGGAGAGGUUCUAGAGCGAGACAGAGGACUAGGUGGCCAGAGCUACCUACCGCACUUACCUAGUGCCGACAUACUGGGGAGGCUUUCCAGAUCCCUAUUGAGCCCGCACCAACCGGGCAUGAGCUUGUCGGGGUUCGAGGCCUGACUCCAGCACCCAUAUAGUACACUGGGCAAGCCCUCAAGCUAGUGGCUUCCCUGACGGAGAUGGUGCAGAGGCGCAUGAACCUGUUCAGCCUCUACAAGAUUCCGCCACAUCGGACAUUCCAGCGGGAGCUGCAGCAGGACCAUCAGCACCUCCUCCGACAGCAGGGAGAGAGAGAGAGAGGAGGUUUCGACUCACAGCCGAGGAAAAGCUAGGGGCACCAGUGACGAGAGUGGCCCUUUAGAGCUCGUUCUGGACGAUGAUGAUGAUGAGAUGAGUGAGGACGAGGAGGCAACGAGUCCAUAGUCAAAGUUAUCUGAGGACGGAAAGGGCAAUGUUGGCUUAGAUUCUGAGGACGGAGAUGAUGCUGAGGCUGGGUCAGCAGCUAGCUUAGACACGAGGGCCUCUGAUAGCAGCGCUGAUGAAGAUAGCUCUGAGUCCAUGCCUAGGAAGAGGAUGAAGAGGGCCUCUCGAUCCUGAGGUGGAUGGCACUGAUUUAGAUGUUUUUGCUUUGUCUCUUUGUGCUUUUUUCUUUUAGCUAGAAGUGUUAGCACAUUGUACAAUUUUAUUUUCUUAAAAACUUGUACCCUUUU